Arachis duranensis is the source of this 1150-nucleotide long non-coding RNA. RefSeq lists it as uncharacterized. NCBI's taxonomy places the organism in Eukaryota, Viridiplantae, Streptophyta, Magnoliopsida, Fabales, Fabaceae. The transcript is spliced from 3 exons. The record is from RefSeq and is a predicted model, not a curated record.
ACCUUACCUUGUUUUGCUAUGACGUGUGCAUGAAAUUGUUUUACAUCUUUGGCUCUUAGGUAUCGUCAAAAGCAUAAAUAUGUUGAAGUGAAAGCCAUAAAAGGCUGGGCAAGGCAGAUUCUUCAAGGGUUAGAACCACCUAUAAUUCACAGAGACUUGAAAUGUGACAACAUCUUUGUUAAUGGAAACCAUGUAGAAGUCAAGAUAGGGGACCUAGGUUUGGUAAUGGUCAUGCAGCAACCAACUGCUCAAAGUGUUAUUGGGACUCCUGAGUUUAUGGCUCUAGAACUAUAUGUGAGGGCCAUGGGUCCUAGUAGUUCUGGAUCACGUAUUCUCCCACCUCCUCCUUUUACCUUUUCAAACUCUCAGAAAGGCACAGCUCUAGUCCCAGUCCCAGGUAGAAAACUCCCACCUAUUCGGUAGUGACCAGGACAACCAUAGCAUUCUCAAAGGGAGGAUGAUUCUGAUGAUCUUGAUGACUUGGAUGAUUAUUUAGAUAAAUGCUGAUUGCGAAGAAGAUCUAGAUGGUCAAAAGUCUAUUUUAGAAUUCUGCAUCUACCUUGGAAGAAAUCUGGUAUCAUGGAAAUCAAACAAACAAACUAAGCUAAGGAGAAGCAGCAUAGAGGCAGAGUAUAGGUCAAUGACAGUAGAAGAAAUAGAAAUCAGCAGAGCUUCAUAUGCAUCAAUUGACUCCGCCAACCAUAUACUAUGAUAACCAGAGUUCAUGUCUUCUAGUAGCCAUUUCAAUAUUGCAUAGCAGAUGCAAACAUUUGGAACUCGACUUGCACUUUAUUCAGGACUUGGUUAAUAAAAGGAAUUAUUUGUAUUUCAUAUUCCAUCCUAUGGCCAAAUAGCAAAUACACUAACCAAACCUUAUCCUUACCUCAAUUUCAGAAAUUUUGAGCCAAAUUGAGGAUUCAAGACAACAAUUGUACCUCGGUUGGAGGAGGGGAGGUACUAACAGUAUAAAUAGUUACUAUAGUUAACUAGUGUUUGUGUGUAUCUAGAGUUAGUUUAUGAGCUUAGCAAGUUAGUUACAAGCAUAGCAAUUCUGUUACAACUAACUUUCUUUACUUGUUUAUAUAUAAUUAAUUAUAUAAGAGUCUAGUUUGUACAGAAUUGAUCUUCUGCUCUUGCUUCUUGCCGUACA